GCCGGGAUAGCUCAGCUGGUAGAGCAGGGGACUGAAAAUCCCCGUGUCGGCGGUUCAAUCCCGUCUCCCGGCACCA
Molecule: transfer RNA, 76 nt
Filed under: Nitrospinota bacterium
Lineage: Bacteria; Pseudomonadati; Nitrospinota
Description: tRNA-Phe
Rfam family: tRNA
About the family: Transfer RNA (tRNA) molecules are approximately 80 nucleotides in length.
Source: RNAcentral